GAUGAAGAACGUAGCGAAAUGCGAUAAGUAGUGUGAAUUGCAGAAUUCAGUGAAUCAUCGAAUCUUUGAACGCACAUUGCGCCCUUUGGUAUUCCUUAGGGCAUGCCUGUUCGAGCGUCAUUUACAAAUUCAAGCUCAGCUUGGUGAUGGGUGUCUGUCCCGCCUUUGCGCGUGGACUCGCCUCAAAUGCAGUUGGCAGCUUAUCCCUCGGCUCUAAACGCAGCAGAUUUGCGUCGAGCGUCGUGUGGACGGGCUCUCCAGUAAGCAGACCCCCCAAAAUUGACCUCGGAUCAGGUAGGGAUACCCGCUGAACUUAAGCAUAUCAAUAAGCGGAGGA
This 337-nucleotide unclassified non-coding RNA is filed under the name soil metagenome. Its description in RNAcentral is "partial contains 5.8S ribosomal RNA, internal transcribed spacer 2, and large subunit ribosomal RNA". The stretch from base 1 to 120 matches the Rfam family "5.8S ribosomal RNA", at positions 35 to 154 of the family's 154-position model. The record is from RNAcentral.